RNAcentral lists this ribosomal RNA (392 nucleotides) under uncultured bacterium. Its description in RNAcentral is "partial 16S ribosomal RNA". It matches the Rfam family "Bacterial small subunit ribosomal RNA", at positions 524 to 918 of the family's 1533-position model. The record is from RNAcentral.
UACGGAGGCUCCGAGCGUUAUCCGGAUUUAUUGGGUUUAAAGGGAGCGUAGGCGGACGCUUAAGUCAGUUGUGAAAGUUUGCGGCUCAACCGUAAAAUUGCAGUUGAUACUGGGUGUCUUGAGUACAGUAGAGGCAGGCGGAAUUCGUGGUGUAGCGGUGAAAUGCUUAGAUAUCACGAAGAACUCCGAUUGCGAAGGCAGCCUGCUGGACUGUAACUGACGCUGAUGCUCGAAAGUGUGGGUAUCAAACAGGAUUAGAUACCCUGGUAGUCCACACAGUAAACGAUGAAUACUCGCUGUUUGCGAUAUACAGUAAGCGGCCAAGCGAAAGCGUUAAGUAUUCCACCUGGGGAGUACGCCGGCAACGGUGAAACUCAAAUGAAUUGACGGGG